GGUUAAGCGACUAAGCGUACACGGUGGAUGCCCUGGCAGUCAGAGGCGAUGAAGGACGUGCUAAUCUGCGAAAAGCGUCGGUAAGGUGAUAUGAACCGUUAUAACCGGCGAUGUCCGAAUGGGGAAACCCAGUGCAAUUCGUUGCACUAUCGUUAACUGAAUACAUAGGUUAACGAGGCGAACCGGGGGAACUGAAACAUCUAAGUACCCCGAGGAAAAGAAAUCAACCGAGAUUCCCCCAGUAGCGGCGAGCGAACGGGGAGCAGCCCAGAGUCUGAAUCAGCUUGUGUGUUAGUGGAACGGUCUGGAAAGUCCGACGGUACAGGGUGAUAGUCCCGUACACCAAAAUGCACAGGCUGUGAACUCGAAGAGUAGGGCGGGACACGUGGUAUCCUGUCUGAAUAUGGGGGGACCAUCCUCCAAGGCUAAAUACUCCUGACUGACC
Molecule: ribosomal RNA, 445 nt
Filed under: Klebsiella pneumoniae
Lineage: Bacteria; Pseudomonadati; Pseudomonadota; Gammaproteobacteria; Enterobacterales; Enterobacteriaceae
Description: partial 23S ribosomal RNA
Rfam family: Bacterial large subunit ribosomal RNA
Source: RNAcentral